RNAcentral lists this transfer RNA (46 nucleotides) under Homalia lusitanica. Its description in RNAcentral is "partial tRNA-Phe". The record is from RNAcentral. Lineage: Eukaryota; Viridiplantae; Streptophyta; Bryopsida; Hypnales; Neckeraceae.
CGGAAUAGCUCAGUUGGUAGAGCAGAGGACUGAAAAUCCUCGUGUC